RNAcentral lists this ribosomal RNA (300 nucleotides) under Triticum aestivum (bread wheat). RNAcentral describes it as "partial small subunit ribosomal RNA". The record is from RNAcentral. Lineage: Eukaryota; Viridiplantae; Streptophyta; Magnoliopsida; Poales; Poaceae.
AUGCUGAUGCCCCUGUGGUCGACUACGUCACCGACGACCCCUCCUUCUUGUCUGAGCAACCAGACGAUGGAGUCCAGGAGCCAGACGACACCGUCGACUACUACUACUACUACUACUCGGGAGGUGCCUACUACUACGUGCAGCCCGCUGACGACGACCAUGAGUAGUUUAGGAGGAUCCCAGGCAGGAGGCCUGCUCCUCUUUCGAUCUGUAUCCCAGUUAGUGCUAGCCUUCAUAAAUCAGACUUGUUUAACUUAUGUCUGUACUCAGAUAUUGUUGCUUCCGCUGACUCGUCUAUGA